CAGUAGCCGCGGUAAUACGGAGGGCGCGAGCGUUACCCGGAUUUACUGGGCGUAAAGGGCGUGUAGGCGGCCUGGGGCGUCCCAUGUGAAAGGCCACGGCUCAACCGUGGAGGAGCGUGGGAUACGCUCAGGCUAGAGGGUGGGAGAGGGUGGUGGAAUUCCCGGAGUAGCGGUGAAAUGCGCAGAUACCGGGAGGAACGCCGAUGGCGAAGGCAGCCACCUGGUCCACUUCUGACGCUGAGGCGCGAAAGCGUGGGGAGCAAACCGGAUUAGAUAUCCGUGUAGUCCCUGUCUCUUAUAC
Molecule: ribosomal RNA, 301 nt
Filed under: uncultured bacterium
Lineage: Bacteria
Description: partial 16S ribosomal RNA
Rfam family: Bacterial small subunit ribosomal RNA
Source: RNAcentral